CUCGUAGGCGGUUUGGUAAGUCGGGUGUGAAACUCUGGGCUCAACCCAGAGAGGCCACCCGAUACUGCUAUGACUAGAGUACGGUAGGGGAGCGGGGAAUUCAUGGUGUAGCGGUGAAAUGCGCAGAUAUCAUGAGGAACACCAGCGGCGAAGGCGCCGCUCUGGGCCGUAACUGACGCUGAGGAGCGAAAGCAUGGGUAGCAAACA
This 207-nucleotide ribosomal RNA is filed under the name uncultured bacterium. RNAcentral's name for it is "partial 16S ribosomal RNA". It matches the Rfam family "Bacterial small subunit ribosomal RNA", at positions 568 to 774 of the family's 1533-position model. The record is from RNAcentral.